RNAcentral lists this ribosomal RNA (1533 nucleotides) under Klebsiella pneumoniae. RNAcentral's name for it is "bacterial SSU rRNA". It matches the Rfam family "Bacterial small subunit ribosomal RNA". The record is from RNAcentral. Lineage: Bacteria; Pseudomonadati; Pseudomonadota; Gammaproteobacteria; Enterobacterales; Enterobacteriaceae.
AAAUUGAAGAGUUUGAUCAUGGCUCAGAUUGAACGCUGGCGGCAGGCCUAACACAUGCAAGUCGAGCGGUAGCACAGAGAGCUUGCUCUCGGGUGACGAGCGGCGGACGGGUGAGUAAUGUCUGGGAAACUGCCUGAUGGAGGGGAUAACUACUGGAAACGGUAGCUAAUACCGCAUAAUGUCGCAAGACCAAAGUGGGGACCUUCGGGCCUCAUGCCAUCAGAUGUGCCCAGAUGGGAUUAGCUAGUAGGUGGGGUAACGGCUCACCUAGGCGACGAUCCUAGCUGGUCUGAGAGGAUGACCAGCCACACUGGAACUGAGACACGGUCCAGACUCCUACGGGAGGCAGCAGUGGGGAAUAUUGCACAAUGGGCGCAAGCCUGAUGCAGCCAUGCCGCGUGUGUGAAGAAGGCCUUCGGGUUGUAAAGCACUUUCAGCGGGGAGGAAGGCGUUAAGGUUAAUAACCUUGGCGAUUGACGUUACCCGCAGAAGAAGCACCGGCUAACUCCGUGCCAGCAGCCGCGGUAAUACGGAGGGUGCAAGCGUUAAUCGGAAUUACUGGGCGUAAAGCGCACGCAGGCGGUCUGUCAAGUCGGAUGUGAAAUCCCCGGGCUCAACCUGGGAACUGCAUUCGAAACUGGCAGGCUAGAGUCUUGUAGAGGGGGUAGAAUUCCGGUGUAGCGGUGAAAUGCGUAGAGAUCUGGAGGAAUACCGGUGGCGAAGGCGGCCCCUGGACAAAGACUGACGCUCAGGUGCGAAAGCGUGGGGAGCAAACAGGAUUAGAUACCCUGGUAGUCCACGCCGUAAACGAUGUCGAUUUGGAGGUUGUGCCCUUGAGGCGUGGCUUCCGGAGCUAACGCGUUAAAUCGACCGCCUGGGGAGUACGGCCGCAAGGUUAAAACUCAAAUGAAUUGACGGGGCCCGCACAAGCGGUGGAGCAUGUGGUUUAAUUCGAUGCAACGCGAAGAACCUUACCUGGUCUUGACAUCCACAGAACUUUCCAGAGAUGGAUUGGUGCCUUCGGGAACUGUGAGACAGGUGCUGCAUGGCUGUCGUCAGCUCGUGUUGUGAAAUGUUGGGUUAAGUCCCGCAACGAGCGCAACCCUUAUCCUUUGUUGCCAGCGGUUCGGCCGGGAACUCAAAGGAGACUGCCAGUGAUAAACUGGAGGAAGGUGGGGAUGACGUCAAGUCAUCAUGGCCCUUACGACCAGGGCUACACACGUGCUACAAUGGCAUAUACAAAGAGAAGCGACCUCGCGAGAGCAAGCGGACCUCAUAAAGUAUGUCGUAGUCCGGAUUGGAGUCUGCAACUCGACUCCAUGAAGUCGGAAUCGCUAGUAAUCGUAGAUCAGAAUGCUACGGUGAAUACGUUCCCGGGCCUUGUACACACCGCCCGUCACACCAUGGGAGUGGGUUGCAAAAGAAGUAGGUAGCUUAACCUUCGGGAGGGCGCUUACCACUUUGUGAUUCAUGACUGGGGUGAAGUCGUAACAAGGUAACCGUAGGGGAACCUGCGGUUGGAUCACCUCCUUA